Molecule: ribosomal RNA, 114 nt
Filed under: Diaphorina citri (Asian citrus psyllid)
Lineage: Eukaryota; Metazoa; Arthropoda; Insecta; Hemiptera; Psyllidae
Source: RNAcentral
CCCAGCGGAAAUAGCACGUUGAAUGAAUGAGUUUCCGAGGGAUCACUGAAGUUAAGCAACGUUGUGCGUGUUUGGUAUAUUGACGUGUGACCGGGACAAUACGUGCUGCUGAUC